UCCAAUUUUUGGAGAUGGCCCUGGGCACACUUUCACCAUUGUAGGCUCAUGCGGUGGUAGUUUGAUCGGGUAUGUGGCCAAGCCAUGGUCGUAUUUCUCCCCUGCUCGAUUCUAUGGCUGUUGUUUCACCUGCUAAAUUUAUUUCUGAAACUUUACAUGCCAAGUUCUAUUUCUUGCUUCGGUUAUCGUUUUCAGAUGUUGUAAUGUGCUCUUCAGAUGUGCUAACUUUAAUUGAUCUUAUGUUGGGCUUGAUUUGUAUUCUAGGAUGAUAAGGCACUUUUGGGUUGGAUUGGAGUACCAGAGCCUGCACAUGAUUGGCAUGUUGCUUUUGUACUGGAAUAACCACUUACAUUUCGAGUUUAUCAUCAACACAGCUAUUGAGGAUGUUAUUGGAUUCAAGCACGCACUGGGCGUUCGCACUUAUAAAUUCAGAUUUUGCAUAGGCAUAGAGCAUGCAGAGAGGCGUUCAGCCAUGGUCGUUCUCCGCCUACCAACUCCCCAGACCGCGUCCUGAUCCUGGAGGCUAAUCUACAUCACCUGCAACGGUAAGGCCUGCAACCAUAUACUAACUAUGCAAAUUCUCUUGAAAGAGUAUGUAAGGGCACAAACUUUUUGUCCAGAAGAAUGUAAAGCUUAGUGUUCAGAUUAUUGGUAUCCUGCAGUUUAUUUUGAGUUACCUCUUUCAUGCCAGCAGAGAAGAUUUGUUUUGUUUCCUGAAUUUUGUCAGGGCUGUUUUAUUUGAUAAGUUGAGAAGAGUCGUGUA
Long non-coding RNA from Lolium rigidum, 763 nucleotides. RefSeq lists it as uncharacterized. The transcript has 2 exons. The record is from RefSeq and is a predicted model, not a curated record. Lineage: Eukaryota; Viridiplantae; Streptophyta; Magnoliopsida; Poales; Poaceae.